AGAAAACAAUAUGGCCGCUCCCAGCUGGGACGUGAGUCUCUGGAUUAGGCAGGCAGAGGCAAUUAUGGGCUUCUGCAGUGGCGAGAAAGGAAGCGCCUGAAGGGUCGUGAGGCUGGGGCUGGACCCGGCACCGCUGGGGCGGCCAGGCUUUGAGGACGCCAAUGGCGAGCAGCGUGGACGAGGAGGCGCUGCACCAGCUGUACCUGUGGGUAGACAACAUCCCUCUGUCCCGGCCCAAGCGAAACCUCUCCCGGGACUUUAGUGAUGGAGUCCUUGUUGCAGAGGUCAUCAAGUUUUACUUCCCCAAGAUGGUGGAGAUGCACAAUUAUGUCCCCGCCAACUCUCUCCAGCAGAAGCUCAGCAACUGGGGUCAUCUGAACAGGAAGGUACUGAAGAGGCUGAACUUUUCAGUACCGGAUGACGUGAUGCGCAAGAUCGCGCAGUGCUCCCCAGGCGUGGUGGAGCUGGUGCUCAUCCCUCUGAGGCAGCGCCUGGAGGAGAGGCAGAGGCGCAGGAAGCAGGGCGCCAGCUCCUUACAGGAGCUGGCUCCCCAGGAUGGCAGUGGCUACAUGGAUGUGGGUAAGGUGGCCUUUUCCAUUUCUCCCUCCCGGUUGGAGCUUUCCUUCUGUCCUUCUUCCUGUCGCUUGUGAGAGUGGAAGUAGGGAGGGGGAAGCAGGAGAAUGAGACUCCAGCACAGUCAUUCCUCCGCUUGCCUUGUCUCAGGUGUAUCCCAGAAGGCCCGAGGUGAAGGUGUCCCGGACCCCCAGGGAGGGGGUCAGCUCAGCUGGGACCGGCCGCCGGCGCCUCGGCCUCCAGCGUAUAACCGGGCGUUGCAGGGCGACCCAAGCUUCGUCCUCCAGAUCGCUGAAAAGGAGCAGGAGCUGUUGGCCUCUCAAGAGACCGUGCAGGUCCUGCAGAUGAAGGUAAGGCGCCUGGAGCACUUGCUCCAGCUCAAGAAUGUGCGGAUCGAAGACCUCUCCCGGCGGCUCCAGCAGGCGGAGCGUAAGCAGCGGUGAGCGGCGGCCCGGGCCGCGCGGGGACGCCCGGGUACCCGCCAGAGCCCCGACGCCGCGCCGGACCCACCCACCGAUGGAUAGACCAUUGGGAGGGCGGAGCCCGCUGCUCUCACGAGCCUCUUAGGGCCCGAGUGCCCUCCUUCCUUGGGAUGGGUGAGCGUGGGAGGAGAUGGGACAGGAACUCUAGGAGCGGAGGCCCGGGACUGAGCCGCCUCCUGCCACUCCGGAGAUCCGGGUCAGGAGAAUGGACCGCUUUCCAGAGCCCAGAAGCCACGUGCAGAGACCUAGCCUGCCCCCCAAAGCAGUGUCCAACACCUUGGGCCCGGCCUUGCAUCUCCCGGCGCUGGGCCUUGGGGGGCGGUCCCUUGGCUCUGUCCACACCCCCAGAAUCAGGUCCCCGCCCAGCUCCGAGGACGGCGGCGUCUCCAUGCAGGCUAGCUCCCCAUGCCCUCAGCCAUGGGGGAAUCUGUCCCGGGCCGCUGAGGGGCUCCCCUGCCCCUCCUGGGAGCUUACCUGGGACCCACCUCGGCGACGGAGACCGCAGCAGCUGGAGAGGAAGGGGUGAGGAGUGGGAUCGCCAGGAGUAGGGAGGACAUCGACGAUGUGCCUGUAGCAGUCGCCCCUCCCUCCUCGCGCACGGGGUACUGAGGGGGAAGGUUUGAAGGUUACGGCUCAGGGCUGCCCCAUUAAAGUUAGUGUUGUGUUCUA
This 1724-nucleotide small RNA is filed under the name Pan troglodytes (chimpanzee). RNAcentral describes it as "processed transcript". The record is from RNAcentral. Lineage: Eukaryota; Metazoa; Chordata; Mammalia; Primates; Hominidae.